GUAUAAGAGACAGCAGCAGCCGCGGGAAUACGAAGGGUGCAAGCGUUAAUCGGAAUUACUGGGCGUAAAGCGUGCGUAGGCGGUGAGUUAAGUCUGCUGUGAAAUCCCCGGGCUUAACCUGGGAACUGCGCUUGUGACUGCACAGCUAGAGUAUGGCAGAGGGGGGUGGAAUCCCGCGUGUAGCAGUGAAAUGCAUAGAUAUGCGGAGGAACACCGAUGGCGAAGGCAGCCCCCUGGGCCAAUACUGACGCUCAUGCACGAAAGCGUGGGGAGCAAACAGGUUUAGAUACCCCUGUAGUCCCUGUCUCUUAUAC
Molecule: ribosomal RNA, 314 nt
Filed under: uncultured bacterium
Lineage: Bacteria
Description: partial 16S ribosomal RNA
Rfam family: Bacterial small subunit ribosomal RNA
Source: RNAcentral